This 33476-nucleotide long non-coding RNA is filed under the name Coffea arabica (coffee). Its description in RNAcentral is "long non-coding RNA (CARA_LNC005835)". The record is from RNAcentral. Lineage: Eukaryota; Viridiplantae; Streptophyta; Magnoliopsida; Gentianales; Rubiaceae.
CCAUCUCAUCCUUCCUUGAAACACUCUUAAGCAAAGAAAAGCCGAGUUCUUACCUUGUAAAACAAGAUAAAAGGACUCCAACAAAUCUACAGCUUCUCCACUCUAUCAAGUCCAGUUAAUAACAGGGAAAAUUUCAAGAACAGGGCAUGCUUGGAACCUUAUUUGAUAAAGAAAGCACAAUGUUCGGCAAUCUAUAGAAGGCCUUCACAUUUUGUACAAACGUCAGUCCAAAUGCCCUUCACAUUUGGCCUAAAAACCUGAACCCUUUAUUGAUUAGGGCUUCAAGGGCGCCCUUUUCCAUAAUAAUUCUACAGCAAAUUGCAGGAAACAGAAGACAAUGUGCAUCUAUCAUCCAACAACGCAAUAACCAAUCUAUCACAACAAAUUUACUUCUUUCCUCUUCCUCCUCAUGUUUUCAAGCGAAUAGUACCCAAAUUUGGACCCAACCAAAAAAAAGGGAAAAGCGAGUGCAGUAAAGGUCUUUAUCAUAUUCUAAUCAAAGUGCCAAACAGAGCUAAAUUACAGAGAAACUUCAAAAAUGAAAGAGGAAAAAAGAUACAAGCUUUUUUGUUUUUUUAAUAUAGAAAAAACCCCAUAUGAACUGAAGAAACUCUACUCAGGAUUGGGAUUUUACUCCUCCUCACCAUUUCCUCAAAAGCUAAGCUGAAAAUUCUCCCUUUCUUUUUCGCCAACUAUUUUUCCGUCAAAAGACUACGCGAAAUUGAGGGGCGUCGGAGCCUUGAGCCGGCAGAAUCUCCCAGCGGCAAGGUUCGAGCUCGUCAGAAACAGGGCAGAAGCCGGCGAGGGUGACCUUAUCGGCAGAAGCGGCAAUGGAACCGAAUUCGAAAACGGUGAUAUCAGCUGGUGGUGGGCCAGGCCGCCGGACCUCCACUGCUCCGUUCAUGCCGGGAACUUCAGAAGCGGAUUGGGUUUUAACCGGUUCGGAUGUUUGGGUCGCGGGUUUGGAGUUGGUAUCGUUUUUGGUUCCCUUGAACCAUGAAAAAAUACCCAUUGGUGGUGAAUCAGUUAUGUUGCUUACAAAAUGAACUUCCAGAGAGAGAAAGGGUGCAGGGAUUCUAGGCAUUCCAGUUUUAUUUGAGGAAGAAAUCAAGAAAGAGGAUAGCUUUCGUUGAGGGCAAAAUGACGACAAUGCCAUUUAAUUUUUGUUACUAGUAUCAUAUUUUGGGACAGAAAUAGAAGGAUAUUUAACUAUUAGAUGAUCAUAUGGACUAUGGAGUAUUUAGAUUUCCAAUGUUAUUUCCCUGUAUAAUAAACCAAGGAAAAUCUGAUGCAUUUUUUAUUUUUCUCUAUCUGGUUUGGAAAAAUGGAUCUAGAAAGCUACUACAUAUUUUGGAUUUGUUAGUGAAAUUGUUUUGAACUCUAUAAAUAGAGUAAUUUCAUGUUAUAAGUUUAGUUAGUUUUUACAAAGAAAUAAACUCUUGUCCUUUAUUUCUUUUAUUAUUUUUCUCAAUAAUUGUAACAUUUUCAAUAUUAUUUCGCUGUAUAAUAAACUAAGGAAAAUCUGAUGCAUUUUUAGAAAGCUAGAAUUCAUAUUUUUGGAUUGAGGAAUAAACGCCAUGAUUAUGUGGCAAGUUAUUCAUGUAGCAUGAUGGAUGGAUUAAUUUGCAUUUUGGCCUUCAACUCUUUGGUGAGCUGCAUCUGCUGUGAGUCACCCUUUAUUUGUUUAGUAUUUUUUUUCUCUUACAUACACAGCCAUUUUUGUGCUCCUAAAAAAGUGGCAAAUCCAGAGAAACUUUUAGAAAUAAAUCAAAAUUGGGAUCAGACCCUUUUGUUAUCUAAAAUUGAAGAGUGAAAAGAGGGUUGUCAUUCUCAAAUUUCGCACAAUGCUAUAGCCAUUGCAAUCUUUAUGUAGACUUAUGGGCAAAUUGAUUCCUGUACUCAGUUAUCAUUGAGCUCAUGAUCUCACAAGAAUGCUUCAUUUGCUGAAGUUAAAAUUGAAGAAAAACAGUUUAAAAAAAAUACAUUAACAAAAUGCAGCAUAUGAACAAGAUGAUGAUGCAAUGCAACGUACUACACGCAGUGGAGAAGAUAGAAAACAGUGUCGUCAACAACAGGGAGGGAAAGCAAACAAAGAGAAAGGAAAGCCACAGGAUGUUUACUUCUUCUUCCCCCAUAGCCGGCGGCUUCUCCAUUUCCCAUCAUCGGCAUAGAAACCAAUGACAAUUUCAGGAAUGUGUGCCAUUCUUCUGUAAUCUUCCCUGUCUUCCUUCUGAUUCCCCACCUUCUCUAUCAGUCGAGAACUCAUCUCAUACAAAGACAGCCGUUGAAGAUGGCUCAAGUGCUGAAUUCCCGAAGGUAAGUCCUCUAGUGAUGGAAGCUGUCUCAGAUGUAGUCUUUGGAGAUAAGGGCAUGCACCCUCCUCCACUGUCAUCCAUCUCAACCCUUCCAUUCUCCUUAACCACAAUUGUUUCAGCUUUAGGAAGCCUCCAGCCUUGAAACUCAACCUUUCUCCCUGGUAAGAUCCACAGAAAGUAAUUUCACCCAAAUUGGGCAAAUGUUGGAAGGAUUCAAGUGGAUCCUCCUCAGCCCUCAACCCGCUCCAGAUCAUAAGUAUUUUUACCAAGUUUUGAAGAUGAGUUAUCCACACUGGCAUCGUUUCUAAGCGGCCACACAUAAUUAGCAUACGAAGAGAUUGAAGAAACGAACAAGAAGAAGAAGAAGAAAGAGAAUGUUGAUGAUGAUUUAGAUCUAUUAUCUCAGAAUCAUCACCUUUUCCAAUUGAUUCAAUGCUUAAUUCCCGAAGGCUGGUGAGGUUGACAAGGGAGGAGCAGAGCUCCUUUCCAUCUUCUCUUCUCAACUGUGUAAUAUAUAACUCUCUUAAUUGGGUCAAUUUUCCUAUCUCUUUAACUAUUACAGACCCGCUGCUUGCAUCUACGGUGUUUAAUGUUUGUAGAGCGAGAAGCCCUCCCAAUUUUGACGGACCUUUAAACCCAUGAAAUCCAUAAUCACUAUCUGAGGGAUCAACUCGUUGGAAUACUGUGAGAUGCCGAAGCUUUUGCAGCUUUAGGAUUUCCACGGGUAAUUCCCUAACUCCAGUGUUCCCCAAAUUCAGAUGUUCCAAAUGUUGAAGCUUUCCAAUAGCUCUCGGGACUCUUGCCACUUUUGUACCAUAUAGGCUCAGAAACGUGAGAUGCAACAAGUCGAAAACCUCAUUUGGUGUUUCCUCUAUCUCUUCACCUCGCAAUUCCAAAACCUUUAGCAACUUACUACUCCUUAGAACUUCAGAUAGGAAAGUUUUGGAUAGCAAUGGGUUGGUGGAACUAACUGCGAUGAAUGAUCGAAGGUGUUCAAAAGAAUAAAAUUGUCUUUGUUGGUGGUAUUGGAUGAUGCUGCUGUUGCAACUACUAUGGAUUGCUAGACGGCGUACCUUCUCAGAUGGCCACGUCAUUGGUUGUCCAGUAGUAACUGUGACCAUGUUUUGUUCCCUUGACUUGAUGAGAAUAACUUCUCUCAUUAAGUCAUGGAUUCGACACGUGUUGGGUGAUCCUUCAUAAAACACUUCAGUUACUUGAAUUAGGCUUCUACUGAUGAGUUCACUGAGAUAGCCCCAGGCUACAUCUUCAAUACUCAUUCCUUCUCUCCAUUCUACAAAUCUUUCAGCAAUCCAUAAUUGAAUCAGCCUCUGGCAUGCUAUUAGAUGAUCCUCCGGAUAAAUGCUUAAAUACAACAGACAGGGUUUGAGAUGCGAAGGCAGAUCGUUGUAACUCAGAGAAAGUAUUCUUUUAACUCUCUCUAGCUUACCCCCAAGAUUGUGUUGAAUCAUCUCCCAUUCAUCUAUUCUGCUCACGUCCUUCGAAGCCAAGAGCCCACCGAUCGCAAGAAUCGCCAAAGGCAAACCGUCACAUUUAUCCAAUACAGCUUUUGCAACAUUCAUCAGGUGGGUGGGGCAACGAUUUCCUUUAAAGAUCUUGUUACAAAAUAGGGUCCACGAAUCUUCAUUUGAUAGUGGCUUCAUUCUGUAGACAUAAUCCUGAGAUUCUGUACAAGAGGUAGAGGCUACAUCGGCAUUUCGUGUUGUUAGCAUGACACGAUUGCCGUAGUUACCCUCAGGCAGUGCAAAUUUGAUUUUAUUCCAAAAUUCCACGUCCCACACGUCAUCAAACACAAUUGCAUACCUUCCAGCUUGUUGAAGAAAAUCUUUGACAAUUUCUUUCAGCUCAGCGGUAGUCAUGGACUCGAUCGAUUGUGGGACUGAUUUGUCCAAGUCCUUGUGCAACUUCCGAAUCAAGUCUCUCAGGAGCUUUGGAAAGUCGCAUGUUUGAGAGACGGUUACCCAUGCACGAACUGGAAAAUUCUUUCUAACUUUUGGAUCUUCAUGGACCUUUUUGACUAGGGUAGUUUUCCCUAGUCCAGCCAUACCAACCACUGAAAUAACUUUGAGUUGGUAAUCGUGCCCCUCGAGAAGCAUAGAAAUCAGAUGUUGUUUGGGCUGGUCAAUGCCAACCAAUUUUGCUUCCUCCACUAGAAGUGCAUCAUCCCUGCUAUAGAGCCGCGAGCCUUUCAUGGUUGAAGAUCCAGUGACACGGUGAUCGAUGCCAAAUUCAACUUGGUAUCUCUGACAUCGUUCUGAAAUAUUUUUUAUCCUGGACUUGAUGCUUUGAAUUUCACUGGCAACCUGAUGACGAGCUGGCAAGCUCUUAAUGGCUUUGAGAAUUCUCUGCAGGGAGCCACAGAAUCCAUGAUGUCUGUGGCCAGCAAAGCGAAGUACAAAUUCAUCGAGAACAUCUUCAAUGUCAUAAGCAGCUCCGCGCACUUGCUUGAUCCAUUCUUGGAGCCUGGGAUUAGAGGUGUCAAAAUGAGUGACUUGAGCGGGUUUAGAUAGGGUAAAAUGGGUAAUGGAUAUAAGUGAGUCAAUCCAUUUAUAUCCAUUUUAUUAGAUGUGUAUAAAUGGGUAAGUCAAGAAAUGAAUUGGGUAACCCAAUUAUCCAUUUAUAACCAUUUAUUUUAACUUUUUGGAAACUCAUUAAAAUUCUUUUUCGCAAACUAAAUUAUCAAUUUAUACCGCUCUUUAUACCCAUCAUUAAUUUUAAAUAUUUACUUAUAAUGCUCAAUAAGUUUAAUUACCAAUUUUUUUUCCAUUGACACUCUAUGUCGCAAAAUUACAUAUUAUUUAAUAAUUGAAUAAUAAGAAUAUAAAAAUUUGAACUAAAUACUAUAAAAAUUAAUAUAAAAACUUAAUCUAAAAAUUUUGAACCCCUAACAUUUUUUUCAUAUGUAAAUUUAAAUUUUCAUUUUAGUAAGAUAAGAAAAGAAGCUAAAACUUAUCAUAAAUUAGUAAUGCUGAAAAAUGAUUAAGUAAACAAACUAAGAAAAAAUAAAAUAAUAAGAUAAACCAACAAAUAAUAAUAAUAAUGAAACAAAAAUAGUUAACAUCAUGACAAAAUGAAAAAUCUAAAAAAAAAAUGGGUGGAAAAAGAGAAUUCUAAAUGAAUUAAUUGAAUUUAAUGGGUUAUCUAAUAAUAUAAAAAAAUUUAAAAUACCCGUACCCAUUAUUCAUAGACGAAUAUGAGUAAAUUUAAUUAAAUGGAUUGAUUUGCCACCUAUACCUGGGCUCAUCAUCUUCUUUUGGUUCAGCCACUUUGAGGAAAGCUCUCAUCUGCCCCAACUCAUCCAUGAUGAAUUGGACCUCUUCUCGAAGCCCUCCCAACAGGCUUCCCUCCUCUCGGAGUAAGGUUGCGAGAUGAUUUGAAACAAGAGAGACAACAGUUUCUGCCAUUUGUAUUGUUUUUUGUUAUAUAUAUAUUUUUUUCAAGAAGAAGAAGAAGGAGGCAGGGUUUUAGCUUCUUUUUAUAUGGUUAUGAGUAGAAGAAUGGUUUUAACAUCAAAUAUUUUUGGGUGCCUGAGAAGGAUUUAUUAUAUAGGAAGGAAGGCCUUGGUGGGGAUCAGGUAGAUUCCAUCGGAAGUAAUGCUCUUUCUCUACCUUCCUUGUUCCCCAUGGUUUGGAAUUUGUAGAAAGAAAGUUGAAAUGAUUUAUUCUUUCUUCACGUUCGAAAAUUAGUAUCAUAGUUAGAGCUGAAGCACCACUUUAGGAAUAAAUCAGACCUUACGAGUAAGAAAAGAGAUAGACAAACAUGGCUUUAUUCUUCUUGUCCUUUUUAUUCUUACGUCAAGUCUUAGCUAUAUCAUCUUCAAAGGCUCUCAAAUAUAAGAAGCACAUUCUCAUUGAGUCUCUGUUAUUCUCAUCUAUUAUUCUCAUUGAGUACUACCAAAGUAUGAGGAAACAAAUUCAGUAGCAGGUUAUUUGUCUUUUCUAUUUACAACGUUUGAUGCAAGACAACUUUUGCAAUGAAUGAGGCUAACCAAAAAAAUAUACAUAUAUUUUGGAAUUAAGGGGAGAGAAUCUACUUUAUAGAAAGCAAGAAUUUUUCUUCUUACAGUAAAUCAGGCUAACUGUGCUAUUAUUAAGAACCCCUCCAGUUAAUGUUGGCCAAGAAUUAUUCACGAUUUACCUUCUUCUUGCAAUAAUUUAUUCCGUAGGGUAGAUAGAAUCAACUUGAAAUGUUGUUUGGAUAGCAAAUUUUUCUUCAAAAAUUUUUCGCUUCCAUCAUAAACACAUUUCUCAAUCCAUCUUUUUAUAUUCCCAAUCAUAUUUUUAUCUCACAUAUAUCGCAUCAGAAAAAAUGUUACAGUAAUUAUUCCAAAUAAUUAUUUGAAAUAAUACUCUAUCCAAAUAUUCUUUCUUCAAUACUGCAAAUGAGUAUCAUUUAAGGUUGAAGCACCACUUUUGGUGUCAAUAAUAAGAUAAAUAAAGAUGGCUUCAUUCUUCGUAUCCAGAAUAUUCUUACUUCAACUCUUCUGUUAUCCUCUUUGACAGCUUUCGAAGGAAAGAAUACACUUUCUCAAUUAAUCUCUGUUAUUCUGUGUCAGCGUGACAUUGCUUAUACCUGGUGCCAAGUAUUGUUGCUUAUGAUAUUUCAUAUGCAUAAAUUUCAUUUUCACCAGAUAGAAUAUUGUAAGUGAGACCAAACCAUGCUUCAAAAAAUCCAGUUCAAUUUCUGUGUUGCCCCAACAUAAAGAAGAAAAUAAUCAUGGACUGUUGAAACAAUUAUGGUUUGUAACUUAAUUCCGAUAAAACUUUAAUAAGUAACACCCAUUAUCAGGAUUUAAGUAAUCUAGUUAAAACAACCAGACAUGACGAAUUUUUUUUCCAGAUUUAAGGAUUUCCAUUGGUCACCCCCUGGCAAUAGGAUCACCCAAAUUCUGAAGCUCUCAAAUGCAUGUGGAAUUGUUUUUAACUUUUUGUUCUCCUUCAUUUGGGAUUUCGUUAAAUUCGCACCUCCAAAAUCCAAAACCUUAAUCAACUUACCUGAUAAGAGAACAGAUUUUGGAUAGUGACUCCAUGGACCAAUCUAUUAUCUUUUACUAUAUUAAAAGUUCGAUGAGUAUUGGCAUCAUAUGUUAUAAGCACUUUUUUAUCUUAGUUUUUGUUGUAUCCAUAUCACCCUCAUCUUUCAAUUAGAGUUAUUACAUUUUAAUUUUGGUAGUAAUUAAAAAUACGAAACAUUUCAAUUGAUUAAACCUCAAUAAUAAUGAUAAUUAAGAUGAAAAAACUCCCUAUUAAAACUAUUUAGCGACCCUUGUACUCCAUCUUCAAUUCCUAUAUGUGUCAAAGUUUCUUAUCCAAAGCAAUUUCUUACUUGAAAUUAUGUGACCAAUUGCAUUAGCCACAAUUUUGAUAUCGUAAAAAAUAUUAGUAUAAAAAAAAAUAGGUGCUCUUGGGAAAAAAGAGAAAUAUAUAAGAAGAAAAGAGUCCAUAUUCAUUUGAAGAAUCUUGAUAUGAAUAUCGUGUGACAGAUAUAUAAUUACGUGCUUUUUAUCGGUGUGAAGAAAUGCUAAGAGAAAAGAACAAAUAAAAGAAUCCAACCAUUUCUAUCAAUUGAAUGUCAAUAGACAACUAAUAGACAAUGUAAGAUAAUUAAGCAGUAUAGAUCAUUUACAUUCUUUAUUAACCUCAAUAACACUUAAAAAUGUAAAUAUUCCAAAUUCAAUAAUACGCCUCACAUUAUUCAAUUCAAAUUCACAAAAAGAAAUAAAAGUUCAACUAGAAAGAUAUAACGUAGAAUAAGUAAAUGUUCAUGCGAAAUUAGAUAUUAGCACAGUUCAUAUAUUUUAUUCUUAAAUAAUUAUUCAUUCUAAUUAUACAAUUGCAUUUCAUUUGUCUUAACAAGGAAAAAAAUAACAUUCAAAAUGUUAUGGCAAAUAACAUUCAAAAUGUUUAUACAAAAUUUUCAUUUGUUAAAAUUUAUUGAUUUCAUUAGAAACUUAACCAUGGAUUUUAUUUUUAAGUAAAAAAAAAGGCAAGUCUAGACUCUGAUUGGUUAGUGAGCAAGCUUUCCAAGGGGUAAAAAAAGGGGUGAGUGUGGUAAAAAUAAUUAGAAUGACUGAUAGAACGGUUAUUUGGCGUAUUUUGCACUGUUAUUUUGUCCUAAUUUUGGCUAUUCACGGUACUAAGAAUUGGAAUUUCACUCAUAUUCGAUAUUUGUGUGAAUUGUAGGUGGUAGGCAUGAAAAAUGAUCUCGCGGGGUAAAUUUUCAGAAGACUUUCCGUCUCAGGGCGUGGCCACGCCUUAGAAGGUGGACGAAACCGAAAGCCGGACUGUGGUCCACGUGAACCGCGAGAAACAUGGGAUAAAAACUCCAAAAGGAUAGCUUUUGUUAGAUGAAUUACUCCAGACGUCUCCUUUCUUUACUUUCUUUUGGGCGGCGGCUAUAAAGAGAAAAGCAAGAUUCAAAAAGUGAAAAGAGACCCUAGCUUUAGCUUCAGAAGUCAGACGCUUUUUAUUUAUUCUUUUGCUCUCCGUCGGCCGCAAUUAGAUUAGUUUUGAGUUUUCUUUUUCUUCUCUUUCAGUCAGAUGUAUUUCUUUUUUCUUUUAGCUUUCGUCUUGUACGGCUUGACUCCUGAGUUGUUACUCUUGCUUGAGACAAUUCGCGUUGAAUUUCUGCUUUGUGAUUGCGACCCCAAUUCUUCGGCAAAUAAUCGAAUGAAUUCAAUUAAAUCACGCGAGAUUGACACGAUGAGGAGCGGCUAAUUUCCUCCUCUACCCAAAGGUUGACGCAAAGGCGCGGUCCAUAAUAUCUGUGAGAUCUAAUCGAAUCUUCAUUAUUUCUUUCAUUUUAUUGCUAUUCGUGCAUUUCCUGAAUUAAUUGUUCAUGGGUAUUUUAUUAAUUGAAUAUCAACGGCCGGGUAUUUGAUUUAAUUUAAUAGCCUACUGCCACGUUAAUUAAAUAGAAUCCGUAAUUGUUCAUUUAGUUAACACCCCGUGGCAACCACCAUAAUUGGCUUUAUGAUGGGGAAACGCAAUAUCUAAUUUAAAUAAACCCUCUUAGCGUGUUUAUUGGUUAGGGUUGUGUUCUUCUAGUUUUAAUGCAAUUGGGUAAUUAAAUUCCUACGGUCGUACCUAGGGUUGUUAUCUGGUUAGAGAAGCAGUCAAUAGUCGUACCUUGACUGUCGAAAAAGUAAGGAAGAACUGGUUGUCAGAGCUUAUUGAUAACUAUAACCAACCUAGCAAGGAAUAGAUGAAAUAUCUUUGCAUCGAUGAUCAUUUAAUUGGACCGUGCCUGAGCAGUUGAUCCUUUGGGUAGAACUUUUAUCAAUUGCUAUUUUUAUUGAAUUGUGCUUUGUGAGUUAGUUUUGAAUUUAGUUCGCUUUAUUUUUAUUUUACUUGUAUUCUAUUUAUUUAUCUCCCAUUGAAAAUCCCUCAAUUUUGUUCUACUAAUUUGGAAAGAAAUAAUUUCCUACCCGCUCCCUGUGGAAUCGACCCUACUUGCCAUUGUAUGCAAAAUUAAUAUUUUUAUAGACAAAUCCGGUAUAUCGGAUCAAGCAAACUCUUCGGGAACAGGGUGAAUCAAGUAACCCAUUGCACACCUAGGGUCCCUGCUCCAGUACUUGGAUUUGUUUUAUAAUUAUUUAAUUGAGGUGGUAAUUAGGACUUUUUAGUAAUUAUUAUUGCACAGGCUCGGCACCUGUCAAUUUUUGGCGCCGUUGCCGGGGAGCUGGCGUUUGAAUUUUUUGUUUCUUUUCAAAUUCAGUUUUUGUUUUAUUUUUAUUUUAUUCUAUUCUUUUUGGUAUUUUUGCUAGUUUAUGCCCCGUUCUUCUCGCACAGGUGAAUUAGUAUACGACCCUGAGGUUGAGAAGGCAGCACGUAGGCGGAGGCAAGAGACCAAGAGGCAAAAAGAAGGGCACUUACUUGCUGCAAACGAGUCAUCGGAAGACGAAAUAAGCAUGGCCAACACCCAAAUAUUGAGGGAAUUGGCUGCCCCGGAACUGACUCACCAGCCCUUAUGCAUCACAUUCCCCACUCUGGUUGAGAAUAUUGCUUUCGAACUGAAGUCGGGGCUGAUUCACCUCUUACCUUCUUUCCAUAGUCUCUCUGGUGAAGAACCCUACAAGCACGUUAAGGAGUUCGAGAUGGUUUGCUCUAGUAUGAAGCCUCCUGGGGUCACUGAAGAGCAAAUUAGACUGAGAGCCUUUCCAUUCUCUCUCAAGGAUGCAGCUAAAGAUUGGCUGUACUACCUACCAGCAGGUAGCAUUACCACAUGGGCACAGUUGAAAAAGAAGUUUUUGGAGAAAUUCUUCCCUGCAUCCCGGGCUGCGAGUUUGAGGAAGGAAAUCUGCAACAUUAAACAGUAUCCCGGGGAGUCCUUGUAUUACUAUUGGGAAAGGUUUAACAAGUUGUGCACUAGAUGCCCGUAGCAUCAAAUUAGUGAACAACUGUUAAUCCAAUAUUUCUAUGAAGGACUCCAGUCAACUGAUAGGAGUAUCAUCGACGCUGCGAGUGGGGAGCGCUGGCAAAUAAGACCCCGAGGGAAGCAUGGCUGCUUAUUGAAGCUAUGGCAGAGAAUUCUCAACAGUUUGGCUUCCGUGAGAGUAACCCUACCCGCAGGGUUAAUGAGGUGGAGUCGACAUCUAUUCAGCAACAGUUGUCAGAGCUCACAUCCGUUGUUCGACAAUUAGUUGUGGGGAAUGUGCCCCAAGUAAAGGCCUGUGAAAUCUGUACAAAUAUGGGCCACCCUACUGACUCAUGCCCUAUAUUGCAAGAGGAUGGGGCGGAACAAGUGAACAUGGCUGGAGGCGUGCCCGCGCCUCAUAGGCAAUACGAUCCAUACUCCAACACGUACAAUCCGAGUUGGAGAGAUCAUCCCAAUUUCAGCUAUGGAAAUAGGCCACAAAAUGCAUUCUCCAAUCGUCCACCAGGAUUUCAGCAAUCAUGGCAACCGAAACCGCAACCCUCAUCCUCCAACUCAGGAAGUUCCUUGGAGAAUAUUGUCAAGAGUCUGGCUACGACUACCGCCCAGAUCCAGUAAGAGACUAGACAGCUCCAGCAGGAGACCAGGUCAUUGACCACAAAUAUGGCUCAACUCCAGCAAGAAACUAGAGCCUUAACCAUGAGCACCAAUCAGUUCCAGCAAGACACAAAAUCAGGCAUGAAGGAUAUGGAGGCUCGAAUAAGCCAAAUGACAACUGCCAUCAAUCGCUUGGAGUCCCACAUCUAUGGAAAAUUGCCAUCGCAACUUGAGGCAAACCCCAGAAAUGUAAGUGCCAUGACAUUAAGGAGUGGCAAAGAGGUGGAUGGACCUAAAUUGGUAAAUUCGAAAAGCAAAAGUGAGGAGGAGAUUGAAAAGAAAGGGCGCAUUCGCGAAGAGCCUAAGGUAACGUCUAUUCCUUCGAUCCCUAUUAAAUCUAAUAUAGCUCAUUUUCCUUGCAGGUUGGAAAAGACAAAGAGGGCAGAAAAGGAAAAAGAAAUCCUGGAUGUGUUCCGCAAAAUUCAAGUAAACAUCCCCCUAUUGGACGCGAUCAAGCAGGUACCCAAGUACGCAAAGUUCUUGAAGGACUUGUGCGUCAACAAAAGAAAGCUAAGGAGUGAUGAAAGAGUGAUGGUAGGAGAGAAUGUAUCAGCUGUACUUCAAAGGAAACUCCCACCCAAAUGCGGAGAUCCAGGUAUGUUUGCUAUCCCCUGUAAGAUUGGUCAUUCUAGUAUCAAAAAUGCCAUGAUAGAUUUAGGAGCUUCUAUUAAUGUGAUGCCUAAGUCAAUCUAUGAUUCCCUAAAUUUAGGACCUUUAAAAGAAACGGGGAUAAUAAUUCAAUUGGCUGAUCGUACAUGUGCUUAUCCGGAUGGGAUAGUUGAGGAUGUUUUAGUGCAAGUAGAUGGAUUAAUUUUUCCUGCUGAUUUUUAUGUGCUUUACAUGGAUGAUAGAAGUGCCCCAAAUCCAUCACCCAUUAUAUUAGGAAGACCAUUUUUGAGUACUGCCCAAACUAAAAUUGACGUUAGUAAGGGUACUCUCACGAUGGAAUUUGAUGGAGAAAUAGUCCACUUUAAUAUUUUUGAUACAAUGAAACAUCCUGUUAACUCUCAUUCUGUGUUUGCUAUGUAUACCACUAAUCCCUCUGUGCAAGAAUUUUCUAAAUUUGCUUAUAGGGGUAAAUCCAAGGUUGCUGCGAACAAGUCCUAUAGGAUGAAAGCAAUUCAUGAGGUAAAAAUGGAGAGAAAAUUUAGGAAAAAAGUUGCACUCAAUGGCCAUGUGGAUCCUGGAGGAGGGCCACCAAUUACAAGGAAAAUUCAAUUACAUCCAGACUAAAGAGUGGUGCUGUGUCUAGCCAAAGACAUUAAAGAAAGGCGCUGCUUGGGAGGCAACCCAAGGCUUCUUUUGUUUUAGUUUUCUUAUAUUUUUUAAGUUUUUGUUAAGCGUUAGUGUCAUUUAGUGGGUUGUUAUUUUGUGACAGGAAGUUGGUAGCUAGACAUGCCCAUGCUAGGUCAUCACACCUAAGGAAUGGGGUUUUGGAAUUGACGGUCAGACGACUAUAACUUCUAAGGCGUGCCCACGCCUUCCAACCCUUCCGAAAAAGAAAGUUCAGUCUUCUCCUUCCUAUUGGUGUUGCGUCCGCCGCCACCACACCACCUUGUGCACGCAGCCGCCUCACCCCCCUCCGCCUUAGUAUCUCAUUUUCCCUCCCCGGAGUCAGGGAAGUUUCUCUUCUUUCCUCCUAUUACUUUAUUUUGUCUCUUCUACAUUGAGGACAAUGUAGGUCUUAGGUGUGGGGGGAGUGGCUUCCAUUAGUUCUUUUUCACUAGUUCUUUUUGCUUUGUUUUUUAAAAAAAAAAUGAAAACAUGGGAUGAAUGAAAAAAAAAUGAAAAACAUUGUAGUUAGUCGGCUUUUUGGUUAUUUAUAUACUUGUUAGUGUUGGGGCAUGUUGCUGUGAUAAAUGACAUAAUCAAAGUGAGUGGGUAUGUAGUCGGAUAUGCUAGCUGUGCAUUUUGCUUCCCUUGACAAUGUCGUUGAAUGUUGAAUAUGCUGGAAUUGACUCAUUUUUGAAACUUUUGGGAGCUUUUGAACCUUGCUUGAGUAUGUUAUUCUUGUUUGCUCGAUUUUGUUUGAUUGAGUGGGUAUCGCACAUGGUAUGAACAUUCUGGAACUUGCUAUUUUAUACAUGUCAAGACCACAUUCUGUUGAACUAGAUGCAUUUGAAAUGAUAAGGGCAUUUAGGAUUUGACCUCUUUGAGCUUUCGAAAGAAAAUCAUGCAUUCACCUUGUUUCCCAAUAGUGAACCAAUUUGAGCUUUAUCCUUCGCUUUUGGUUGUUACCCAUGUUCGUUAACCCGAGACCUCUUUAAACUUUCUUGUUUAUCCCUGUGUUGUCAAGGGAUGUCUGAAAUCCAUCAUUUGUGCAAAGCAAAUAAAUUUGGGGUUGCAAGUGCUGUUAGAUUAGGAGCUGUAUGAUUUUAUCCUUGUAAAAAGGGGGAGAAAUUGGAAAAGGCCACUGACCAGAGGACUUUGCCUUGCAGGGCGUGCCCGCGCUUUACAGGACUUUCUCCCUUGAAAAAAAAAAAAAUCCUGAAGAGACCUCGUGACCACAGGACUAUGGGCUCCAAGGCGUGCCCACGCCUUGCGAGCAGCUCUCUCCAAAAAAAAAAAAAAAAGAGAGAAAGAGAAAAAAAAUUGGGGACACUUGUACAGUGUGUACAGCAAAUGAAAACUGCCUUGUUUGUGGAACCCCUCCGAUAAGGCACUGUGGUUAUUGGUGAGUUUCGGACAUUCUCUUGACAUUUUACCCCCUAUCUACACCUUCUUAACCCGCCUUUCACCCGAAACCCCAUUACAACCCUAUUAAAGUCCCUUUGAUUUAUGUGUUUAGUUCACUUUUAAGUGGUGGAGAUGUGAUAAAUGUGCAAGCCUAUGGUAAUGGCAUUCCGUGAUGUUGAAUUGAGCGUUUCUAUUAUUCAUAUAUAUUCUUUGAAUUACAACAUGUCCGGUGUGUUCUACCUUUGGUGAUAUUGUCAGGGACCCUAGAUGCUUGUGUUAGUAUAGACUACUACAUGACCUCUGCUCUCUUGGUUGUACUUCUGAGCUCCGAAAUGCUUGAGGGCAAGCAUUGUCUAGGUGUGAGGGGAUUUGAUAGAACGGUUAUUUGGCGUAUUUUACACUGUUAUUUUGUCCUAAUUUUGGCUAUUCACGGUACUAAGAAUUGGAAUUUCACUCAUAUUCGAUAUUUGUGUGAAUUGUAGGUGGUAGGCAUGAAAAAUGAUCUCGCGGGGUAAAUUUCCAGAAGACUUUUCGUCUCAGGACGUGGCCACGCCUUAGAAGGUGGACGAAAUCGAAAGCCGGACUGCGGUCCACGUGAACCGCGAGAAGCAUGGGAUAAAAACUCCAAAAGGAUAGCUUUUGUUAGAUGAAUUACUCCAGACGUCUCCUUUCUUUACUUUCUUUUGGGCGGCGGCUAUAAAGAGAAAAACAAGAUUCAAAAAGUGAAAAGAGACCCUAGCUUUAGCUUCAGAAGUCAGACGCUUUUUAUUUAUUCUUUUGCUCUCCGUCGGCCGCAAUUAGAUUAGUUUUGAGUUUUCUUUUUCUUCUCUUUCAGUCAGACGUAUUUCUUUUUUCUUUUAGCUUUCGUCUUGUACGGCUUGACUCCUGAGUUGUUACUCUUGCUUGAGACAAUUCGCGUUGAAUUUCUGCUUUGUGAUUGCGACCCCAAUUCUUCGGCAAAUAAUCGAAUGAAUUCAAUUAAAUCACGCGGGAUUGACACGAUGAGGAGCGGCUAAUUUCCUCAUCUACCUAAAGGUUGACACAAAGGCGCGGUCCAUAAUAUCUGUGAGAUCUAAUCGAAUCUUCAUUAUUUCUUCCAUUUUAUUGCUAUUCGUGCGUUUCCUGAAUUAAUUGUUCAUGGGUAUUUUAUUAAUUGAAUAUCAACGGCCGGGUAUUUGAUUUAAUUUAAUAGCCUACUGCCACGUUAAUUAAAUAGAAUCCGUAAUUGUUCAUUUAGUUAACACCCCGUGGCAACCACUAUAAUUGGCUUUAUGAUGGGAAAAUGCAAUAUCUAAUUUAAAUAAACCCUCUUAGCGUGUUUAUUGGUUAGGGUUGGGUUCUUCUAGUUUUAAUGCAAUUGGGUAAUUAAAUUCUUACGGUCGUACCUAGGGUUGUUAUCUGGUUAGAGAAGAAGUCAAUGGUCGUACCUUGACUGUCGAAAAAGUAAGGAAGAACUGGUUGUCAGAGCUUAUUGAUAACUAUAACCAACCUAACAAGGAAUAGAUGAAAUAUCUUUGCAUCGAUGAUCAUUUAAUUGGACCGUGCCUGAGCAGUUGAUCCUUUGGGUAGAACUUUUAUCAAUUGCUAUUUUUAUUGAAUUGUGCUUUGUGAGUUAGUUCUGAAUUUAGUUCGCUUUAUUUUUAUUUUACUUUUAUUCUAUUUAUUUAUCUCCCAUUGAAAAUCCCCCAAUUUUGUUCUACUAAUUUGGAAAGAAAUAAUUUUCUACCCGCUCCCUGUGGAAUCGACCCUACUUGCCAUUGUAUGCAAAAUUAAUAUUUUUAUAGACAAAUCCGGUAUAUUGGAUCAAGCAAACUCUUCGGGAACAGGGUGAAUCAAGUAACCCAUUGCACACCUAGGGUCCCUGCUCCAGUACUUGGAUUUGUUUUAUGAUUAUUUAAUUGAGGUGGUAAUUAGGACUUUUUAGUAAUUAUUAUUGCACAGGUUCGGCACCUGUCAAUGACCAAAUCUAACAAGACAAUUUAUUUACUUUAAUACCCUUUUAGAAAUUGAUUUUAUGGUUUAAGUCUUUACUUUGCUAAUAAUUAGGGUAAAUUACUUGCAACCCUUGUGGUUUCAUAUGUUGCCAAAUGGCCCCCUCAACGUUUCAAAAAAUCCACUUCAUCCCCUUGUGGUUUUAUAUAAAGUGGAAAUUUGACAGAAAAUACCUAUGUAACGUCGUUAGUUGAAAUACUAAUAGUGCCCUUAUUUAAAUGCUACAUUAAUUGACGGGAUAAUCACUUUGUUCAAAAAUAUAGGGAGAUUAUAUGAAUAAAUGUAAAAAUCACAGGGAAUAAAAUGGAUAUUUAUACAAAUCAUAAGUUGGUUAUAUAACUAUUAAAAUUUUAUCACAUGCGUUUUAAAGCAAUUUUGGUACAAAUGCUGUAAAUGGUUAUGUAUUCCGUCCAUUUUUCAAUUUACAUAAAAUUACAUAGGGGUUGUGUGGCUAUUUUAAAAUCUUAGGGGGAUCAUCUGGCAUUUUUUAAAAUCACAAGGAGUAAUAAGGUAUUUACCCUAAUAAUUAUGAAUUCUAUUUUCUAAACUCACACUUGACAUGUAUACAUCUAUUUUUUGUUUAACAACAUCUUUUAAAGGGAUGACAAUUGUGGCGAGUACUAGGAAACUCAUGGGACGAGGGGUAAUUUUCAUCCUCUCUAUCCCUUGACCCGUUCCCUGCCUUAAAACAUACACACACACACAUAUAUAUAUAUAAUAUUAUUAGUUGUAAAUAUCAAAUUAUGCAUAUGUAAUAUAAUUAAUAUUCUUAGUUAUACUAAUAAUUAUAUAUUUAUACUAAUAUAAACUAUUGAUUAGUUGUACUAAUACAUUUUACUAAAUUACUAAUUAUACAUUUAUGCCAAAUACUAGUUACAUUUUUUUUUUACUAAUUAUAUAUAAACUUAUUUCCCUCGCAGGCACCUGUAGGGAAAGCGGGACGAGGUAGGGGUGGAGCGGAAGAAGUAGGGGAUAGGGGGUAGGGCAGGAGUAAGGUGUGCUUAGGCAACCUGGGGGAUUGGGAGGGGGUGGAAGGGAAUCAUUGCCAUUCCUAAUCUUUUGUAUGACAUUGAAAAAAUAAUAUUAUGAUUUAAUGGUAAAAAUAUUAUGAGUAUACAACAACUUUGGUGAAACACAACCGUAUUAAGAAUUGUUUAUCAAAGCUAAAUCCAUAAUAUACAAAAAGCUCAAAAUAAAUUUAAAAAAUUUGAAAAUAAAUUCAAAAAUCAAUAGAUCAAGGAGUUCCUAUUUAGAUACUUUUUGUAACAAUAACUGGUUAAAGAAAUUAAAAAUAUAAAAUAUCAUAUUAUCACGUACACAAUCAAAUUUCACAAAAAAAAAAUUAUAUAUAAGAGAUGUUAUAUUUGGGUUAAUAUAAUCACGUGCAAAGUACGUGAACUAUUACUAGUACGUAUAUAUAUGUUUGUACAUAGUGUUUUCACUAAGAGCAUGCCCUAUUUCAGCUAUAGUUUCUUCCGUGCCACUUAAAGAUUUGUACUAACUUGCAGAUCUUGAUAAAAUCUUUUGUGUAUAUAUAAGGAAAACUGAACAAUCCAAACCAGUAAUUUUAUAGUCUUUUCUAAAGAGAGCAAGCUGAAAAUCUAUUUGGAAUUUCCAUAAAUUCACACCACCAAAAUCAAAACACCAUUCAGGUUACCUAACUUGCCUGAUAAAAGAACAGAUAAGAAGUUUUUUAACUAGUGACUGCAUGAUCCAAAUCAAUAUAUAUGUUUGUAUCUAGAGCUUUCUCCAACAGCAAGCUCUUUCGGGUUUUGAGGAAGUAAUCAAGAAAGAGGAUAGCUUUUGACGAGGACAAAAUGACGAGAAUGCCAUUUAAUUUUGUGACUACGUAUUAUACUUUGGGACAGAAAUAAAAUGAUAUUUAACUCUAAGAUGAUCACAAUAUUUAGAUUUUCAAUAUUAUUUCACUAUAUAAGAAACCAAGGAAAAUCUGAUGCAAUUUUAGGAAGCUACAUAUUUUUCGAUUGAGGGAUAAACGCUGUGAUUCUGUGGCUAGUUAUUCAUGUAUGACGGAUUUAUUUGUUUAGUUUUUUUCUUAGACAGACAGCAAGAAGUUGAUGGGCUUCUUAGUAGUCCACACCCUCAGGGAUUUUCCGUCCCCUACAUUCCAGCGAUGCCUUGUUGUAGAAUGUCAUUGCCAAGUGAAAUCACCUUCAGAUUUAUAGAGCCAUACGAGAUGGUAAAAACCAAUUUAUUGGCCAAUAAAGAUUGAGGUCUAUUUACAUAUAAGUUUGAGAGAACUUUUACCCAAGGCUUGGGGGAGUCUUUUAGGAUGUGUCAUCCCAGUUUUGCUAAGCCUGCCUUGUUGACUAAAGCAAUUUGUUUGAUGCCAAGGCCACCUUGGUUCUUAUUGAGGGUGACAACGCCCCAAUUGAUCAGGUGGAUUUUUCUUUUAGAGGGGUUUGAAAAGCUGUUCGUUCCCUAUCAAUGGCAUCACAAAUCUUUUUAGGGACAUGUGCAGCUUGGAAAAAAUAGUUGGGAAUGGAAGCAAUACUCUGUUGGAUGAUGGAAUGUGUGCCAGCCAAUGAUAGAAGAUUAGCCUUCCAUCCUUCAAGUUUAUGUAGGACUUUUUCCAACAAAAAUCGGAAGGUUUUGGUUGGGGCUUUUUGGAUGUUGAGGGGGAUACUUGCCCAAAUCUGAGGUGGGACUGAUACCUAAAGGGUUGUUGGAGAAGAGAAUUUUUUACUUAGAAAGAUUAAUCUUCAAACCAGAGAACACAAAUUUGAUGGUUUUAAGAGAAGUUAGAUCAGUUUUGGAAUAGAGGACAAUGUCAUCAACGAAGAGAUAAUAAGAGAGGAAGUCCAUACUUCAACGUUCUGGAGGCCAAACCAACAAUCACACCAAUCUGGAUCAGGAAUCUGUUAAAGAUUAAUGCCAAGACAACCAACACAGAAAGGGGUCGUUUUGCCCGCCUCUGCAUAGAACUUGAUUUACACUCAACUUUGCGCCAUUCCAUCCUGCUAGACAGCUACUUGCAACCCAUCCAGGCGGAGAACUUCUCCUUCUGCCUACACCAUGGAAGGUUGUGUCAUCAUGACCUUGUUCAUUGCCCCAAACUACUUCACACUGUUCCUGCCCCAACCGCUCCACCGGAAUCUGGGCCAUGGAGAAAGCUUCCGGUUAAGCCCAAAGCUACUUCGAAAGGGUUACAGAAAGAAACCUCUAGCCCAACCCACCAAUGGUAAAAACAUUUCAAUUUCAAAUCUGACCUCCCAAUCCAAGCGCCAAAACCUUAGCCAGUCGCGGCAGACAACGUUAAAUGCGUAUAACAGACACAAACACAAAGCACAUCUAAACCAGUAGACAGACAGUCUAUAAAAGCCCAUCUCAUCCUUCCUUGAAGCACUCUCAAGCAAAGAAAAGCCAAGUUCUUAAAUUGUAAAACAAGAUAAAAGAACUCCAACAAAUCUACACCUUCUCCACUCUGUCAAGUCCGGUUAAUAACAGGGAAAAUUUCAAGAAAAGGGCAUGCUUGGAACCUAUUUGACAAAGAACGCACAAUGUUCGGUGAGCAAAUUAUUCGGAUGGCCACUAAAUUAUUAAAAGUUUGGUUUUGACUAUUAAAACGUCAAAGGUUAAUAUUCGAGGUCAUUCUGAUAGAUUUAAUCGUUAAGUAUGUCAGAUCUGACUACUCGUGCGAUUAUCAAGACAAAACAAAGGGACAAUUUAGGAAGUUCGACAAACAAUUUAUUUUGUCUUUGUCCUCUCUUAAAUUUACUCCCUCCAACAACUACAUCGGUGGCUAGCGAUUUCCUUUACAAAAUAAAUCUGUUCUCUCAUGAUAUCUUCUCCUCCAAAAUAAAUGAAAUCCCACGGCCCUUGACAUUCGUUCCGAACUGUUCUCUGUUUUCUCGCCUCUGUAUUUCUUCAACUUCAUCCUGUUUCCAGUAAUCUGGCAAAAUUUUACGAGACCUGUGGGAAUGUACUCAGCUGCGGCAGCAUCACUGGAAUAGGAUAUCCUUUCCGAAGAUACGAAGAUCCAACAUAUAUACUGUGGCUAUCCGGGGCUAGAGUUAAGAUGCGAUCAGAGCAGUAAUGUUACAAGAUUUGAGAUCAAGAACAUGACAUAUUGGGUCUUGGAUAACCAUCCAACCACCCAGACUUUGAGAGUUGCUAGAGAAGACGUGAUGGAGGACAAUUGUCCUACUGAUUUAGUAAACAUGACUCUAGAUUACACCUUGUUUGAUUACUCCGCGAGUUAUAUAAACAUCACGUCUCUCUAUGGCUGCCUAGUCAAUUUACCCAACGUUCUUUCCUGUGGGAGCAAUGGAAGCAAUAAUGCCUCUGUCUUGCCUGGAGAAGUUGGUCCUGGAAAUUGAGGGCCGUUGUGGUAUAUCCGAUACUUCAAACGGGUAAUGGAGGAUCCGUUAAUUUUAUUGGCUCGGAUCAAGUCCUUCGGCAAGGGUUCGACAUCAGAUGGAAAGCGGAUACUAGUAUACGCAAUGAGUGCACGAGGUCCGGUGGAAGGUGUGGGUACAGUGUUCGCUUAAAAAAUGGACAAAAUAAAUUGUUUGUGCAACUUCCUAAAUUGCCCAUUUGUUUUGUCAUAGGAAUCGCACGGAAAGUCAUAUUUGACAUACUUAACGACUAAAUCUAAUGGAGUGGCAUCGAAUCUUAAUUUUAGACAUUUCAAUGACCAAAAUCAGAUUUUUAAUAAUUCAGUGGCCAAAACUCGACGAUUGCAAAAGUUUAGUGACCAUCUUGAUAAUUUGCUCAUGUUCGGCUAUAUAUUGAAGGCCUUCAUGUGUGAAAUGUAUUUUCAUGUACACAUACUGGUACAUUUUGUACAAAUGUCAGUGCAAAUGCCCUUCACAUUCGGCCUAAAAAACUGAACCCUUUAUUGAUUAGGGCUUCAAGGGCACCCUUUUCACUAAUUUAAUUUUCCAUAAUAAUUCUACAAGAAGUCGCAGGAAACAGAAGAAAAUCUGCAUCUGUGAUCCAGCAACGCAAUAACCAAUCUAUCUAAAGGUGGCAAUAUGUCCCAUGUCCCAAUGGACUACCCAUUCCGGGAUAGGUAUUCUAAUUUUAAUGUUGAGUUUGAAAUGGGACUUAAUCCCAUUUAUUCCCAUUAAUUGAUGAGAAUUUUUAGGAAAUUCUUAGGUAUCCAUUGGGGCCCCAAGUAUUUCACUAAAAAUUUGCUCAAUCAAUUGUUGUAUGUCUUUUAGUGACACUUGUAAAUUACUUUUAUUCUUCCAACUAGGUCCUUCAUAUUUUUCUUGUAAUUAUGCUUAAACCCCCCAUCUAGUUUCCUGAGCUCUUUUGUCCCUUAGAAAUCAAAUUUUUUUAAUUUUUUCUUUUUUCAUAAAAAUUCUGUCGUCAGUCUCAAUUUAGAGUACUUUUUGAAAAAUAUCGAAAGAACGGGAACUUAAUGGUUUUGAACUCUUUUUCUAGUAAAAUACUGAUCAAAAUGAAUACUGAGAGUAAUAUGAAAGUCAUUAAUUUAUACUCUUAUUAGCAAAUACUUUGUCUAGUUUUGAUAGUUUUAUGAUGGCUUAUAGUUCUAUAUGCCAUUUCUUUAUACUCAUAAAGACAAGUCCUUUAAGUUUGUAUAGGACUUAUUUUUUUGGGAUAAUUGCAGAAACCUCCCCUGAGAUUUCUGACAUUUGCAAUGACCUUCCCUCUAGGUUUAGAAAUUGCAUUCACCUCCCCUGAACAUUAACAAUUCGUUGCAGAAACCUCCCUCACAGCUUGAUGUCCCAUUAAAAAAUUAUUUGUAGAAGUGAGAUAAAACAUUUCUUCCAAUUUUGCCCUCAUCUUGCUUGACAAUUAUUAUUUGCUUGACAAUUGCAUAACUAAUUAUCUAAUUAGUUAAUAGUUAAGCUAAUUAACUAUUAACUAAUUAACUAAUUAACUAAUUUCUAUUUAUCUAAUUUACUAAUUAACUAAAGCUGUUGUCUGUCUGAAACUAACAAACUAUUUGCAUGUUAACUGCUUAACUAAUUAACUAAUUAACUAACUAACUGAUUAACAGACUAUUUGCAUGUUAAACUAUAUGCAGUACGCAUUACCUAUUUAAAGUAUUGGCUCUUUAUGGGUAUUUUACUUUCAAAUAUUUAAUUUAUGAUAAAAACAUCAAUGUUUGUAAGUAAAAUUCAAAAAGUGUUACAGUAAUAUUCUUACAAAAAGGGAGGGAUAUAGGGCCAUAAAUUAAAUAUUUGAAAGUAAGAAUAUUGAUAUUUUUUGUAACACUUUUUGAAUUUUACUUACAAAUAUUGAUAUUUUUAUCAUAAAUUAAAUGUUUAAAAGUAAAAUACCCACAAAGAACCGAUACUUUAAAUAGGUAAUGCGUACUGCAUAUAGUUUAACAUGCAAAUAGUCUGUUAAUCAGUUAGUUAGUUAAUUAGUUAAGCAGUUAAUUAGUUAGUUAGUUUAACAUGCAAAUAGUUUGUUAGUUUCAGACAAACAACAGUUUUAGUUAAUUAGUUAAUUAGAUAAUUAGUAAAUUAGAUAAAUAGAAAUUAGUUAAUUAGUUAAUUAAUUAAUUGAUAAUUAGUUAGUUAAUUAGUUAAGCAGUUAAUUAGUUAAUUAGUUUAACAUGCAAAUAGUUUGUUAGUUUCAGACAGACAACAGCUUUAGUUAAUUAGAUAAUUAUUUAAUUAGUUAAUUAGAUAAAUAGAAAUUAGUUAAUUAAUUAAAUAAAUAAUUAGUUAAUUAGUUAAUAGUUAAUUAGAUAAUUAGUUAAUAGUUAAUUAGUUUAACUAUGCAGAAAUAGUUUGAUUAGUUAAUAACUAUUAACAAUUAGAUAAUUAGUUAUUAGUUUAACUAUGAAGAAAUAGUUUGAUUAGUUAAUUAGUUAAUUAGAUAAUUAAUUAAUUAGAUAAUUAGUUAAUUAGAUAAAAUAGAAAUUAGUUAAUUAGUUAAUUAAUUUAACUAUGCAGAAACAGUUUGAUUAGUUUAAUUUGUUUAACAAAUUAAACGUUGGUUUUGAUGAAAGUACUCAAACCUUUCAUCUGGUAAAGUCAAAUCCAAUAGGGGUACUCUAGUAAUUUCACACAAUUUUACCUUUUAAAUUAGUUCCAACUUUUUCUAGGGGAGGUUAAUGCAAUUUCAAAAUUGAUAGGGGAGGUCAGUGCAAAUGUCAGAAAUCUCAGGGGAGGUUUCUGCAAUUAUCCCUAUUUUUUUCUCAACUAAAAUUUAGCAACAUAGGAAAUCGAAGAUAAAAAAAAAUAUAUGCAUAGAAAAUAAAUAAAAGAAAAUUUGAGGGAAAAAAGAAUUCACGAAAAUAUAAAUUCACAAUAAUGCUAAAAGAAAUUCAAUAAAUCAAAAUUAUUAAAUUUAUAUAAAAAAGAAUUAAAAAAAGAAUACAAAAAAUAAAUUUGAGUAUUGGACGGAAUCAAUCCAUACCCAUUCCAAAGGUAUCUCGCCCAAAUUAAUCCCAAAAUAUAUAUGAAUAAAGUUGAAUUCAAACCCAUAUUACUCGGUCUCAUGUCAGGCCCAAAUAAAUCCUAUUCAUCCCGUCCAUUUUGCCACGACAAAAUUACCUCUUUCCUCUUCCUUCCCAUGUUUUCAAUCCAAUACCACCCAUAUCUAGACCCAACCAAAAACAAAGAGGAAAAAAUAAGUGCAGUAAAAGUCUUUGUCAUAUCCGAAUCAAAGUGUCAAACGGAGGUAAAUUACAUAGAAACUUCAAAAAUGAAAGAGAAAAAAAGAUACAAGCUCUUUUGUUUUUCUAGUAUAGAUAAGAACCCAUAUGAAAUGAAGAAACUCUACUUAGGAUUGGGAUUUUCCCCCUCCUCACCAUUUCUCAAAAGCUAAGCUGAAAAUUCUCCUUUUUUUUUGCCAAUUAUUUUUCCGUCAAAAGACUACGCGAAAUUGAGGGGCGUCGGAGCCUUGAGCCGGCAGAAUCCCCCAGCGGCAAGGUUCGAGCUCUUCGGAAACAGGGCAGAAGCCACGAGGGUGACCUUAUCAGCAGAAGCGGCAGCGGAACCAAAUUCAAAAACGGUGAUAUCAGCUGGUGGUGGGCCGGGCCGCCGGACCUCCACUGCUCCGUUUAUGGCGGGAACUUCAGAAGCGGAUUGGGUUUUUGGGUCACGGGUUUGGAGUUGGUAUCGUUUUUUGUUCCCUUGAACCAUGAAAAAAAUACCCAUUGGUGGUGAAUCACUUAUGUUGCUCACAAAAAGAAUUAGUUAGAACUUCUAGGCAAUCCAGUUUAUCUGAGGAAGAAAUCAAGAAAGAGGAUGGCUUUCGUUGAGGGCAAAAUGACGAGGAUGCCAUUUAAUUUUUUGUUACUAGUAUCAUAUUUUAGGACAGGAAUAGAACGAUAUUUAACUAUUAGUAGAUCAUCAUAUAGAGUAUAUAGAUUUUCAAUGUUAUUUCCCUGUGUAACAAACCAAGGAAAAUCUGAUGCAUUUUUUAUUUUUCUCUAUGUGGUUUGGAAAAAUGGAUCUAGAAAGCUACAUAUUUUUGGAUUGAGGAAUAAACACCAUGAUUCUGUGGCAUGAUGGAUGGAUUUGCAUUUUGGCCUUCAACUCUUUGCUGAGCUGCAUCUGCUGUGAGUCACCCUUUUAUUUGUUUAGUAUUUUUUUUCUCUUACAUACGCAGCUAGAAGUUGAGGAGCUUCUCAAAUCCCAUUUUUAUGCUCCUAAAAAAUUGGCAAAUCUAGAGAAACUUUAAGAAAUAAAUCAAAAUUGGGAUCAGACCCUUUUGUUAUCUAAAAUUGAAGAGUGAAAAGAAGAUUGUCAUUCUCAAAUUUGGCACUAUGCUAAUCUUUAUGUAGACUUACGGGCAAAUUGAUUCCUGUACUCAGUUAUCGUUGAGCUCAUGAUCUCACAAGUGCCUAUUUGGGGAGGUAGGUAAGAAUGCUUCAUUUGGUGAAGUUAAAAUUAAAGAAAAACAGUUAAAAAAAAUACAUUAACAAAAUGCAGCAUAUGAACAAGAUGAUGAUGCAAUGCAGCAUACUACACGUAGUGGAGAAGAUAGAAAACUUCAGAAACUUCUCAGAAAAAUAGAAGAAGAAGUGAAAGCAGUGUCGUCAACAACAGUGAGGGAAAGCAAACAAAGAGAAAGGAAAGCCACAGGAUGCUACUAGUGCUAGGCAAGGAAUGUUUUCUUCUUCUUCCCCCAUAACCGGCGGAUUCUCCAUUCCCCAUCAUCGGCAUAGAAACCAAUGACAAUUUCAGGAAUGUGUGCCAUUCUUCUGUAAUCUUCACUGUCUUCCUUUUGAUUCUCUACCUUCUCUAUCAGUCGAGAACUCAUCUCAUACAAAUGCAGCUCUUGAAGAUGGCUCAAGUGCUGAAUUGCCGAAGGUAAGUCCUCCAGUGAUGGAAGUUGAUACAGAACUAGUUUUCGGAGAUUUGGGCAGGCACCCUCCUCCACUGUCAUCCAUCUCAACCCUUCCAUUCUUAACGACAACCGUUUCAGCUUUAGGAACCCUCCAGCCUUGAAACACAACCUUUCUCCCUGGUAAGAUCCAGAGAAACUAAUUUCAUCCAAAUUGGGCAAAUGUUGGAGGGAUUCAAGUGGAUCCUCCUCAGCCCUUAACCCGCUCCAGUUCAUAACUAUUUUUACCAAGUUUUGAAGAUGAGCUACCCAUCGUGGCAUCUUUUCUAAGCAGCCAAACAUAAUUAGCACACGAACAGAUUGAAGAAACGAACAAGAAGUAGAAGAAGAAAGAGAAGGAUGAUGAUGAUUUAGAUCGAUUAUCUCAUGAUCAUCACCUUUUCCAAUUGAUUUAACGCUUAAUUCCCGAAGGCUGGUGAGGUUGGCAAGGGAGGAGCAGAGCUCCUUUCCAUCUUCUCUUCUCAACCGUGUAAUACAUAACUCUCUUAAUUGGGUCAAUUUUCCUAUCUCUUUGACUAUUACAGACCCACUACUUGCAUCUAUGGCCUUUAAUGUUUGUAGGGCGAGAAGCCCUCCCAAUUUUGAUGGACCUUUAAACCCAUGAAAUCCAUAACUAUCAUCCGAAGGAUCAACCAGUUGUAAUACUAUGAGAUGCCGAAGCUUUUGCAGCUUUAGGAUUUCCACGGGUAAUUCCCCAAAUUUAGAUAUUCCAAAUGUUGAAGCUUUCCAAUAGCUCUCGGGACUCUUUCUACUUUUGUACCACAUAGGCUCAGAUAUGUGAGAUGCAACAAGUUGAAAAUCUCAUUUGGUGUUUCCUCUAUCUCUUCACCUUCCAAAUCCAAAACCUUUAGCAACUUGCUACUCCUUAGAACUUCGCAUAAGAAAGUUUUGGACGGUAAUGGGUUGGUAGAACUAAUCGUGAUGAAUGAUCGAAGGUGUUCAAAGGAAUAGAAUUGUCUUUGUUGGUGGUAUCGGAUGUUGCUACUGUUACUACUACUAUGGACUACUAGACGGCGUACCUUCUCAGAUGGCCACGUCAUUGGUUGUCCCGUAGUAACUGUCACCAUGUUUUGUUUCCUUGACUUGAUGAGAAUAACUUCUCUCAUUAAGUCAUGGAUUCGACAUGUGUAGGGUGAUCCUUCAUAAAACACACGAGUCACUUGAAUUAGGCUUCUGCUGAUGAGUUCACCGAGAUAACCCCAGGCUACAUCUUCAAUACUCAUUCCUUCUCUCCAUUCUACAAAUCUUUCAGCAGUCCAUAAUAGAAUCAGCACACUGCAAUCUAUUAGAUAAUCCUCCGGAUAAAUGCUUAAAUACAACAGACAGGGUUUGAGAUGCGAAGGCAGAUCAUUGUAACUCAGAAAAAGUAUCCUUUUAACUCUCUCUAGCUUACCGGCGCCUUCUAAUUCACCCCCAAGACUCUGUUGAAUCAUCUCCCAUUCAUCCAUUCUGCUCACGUCCUUCGAAGCCAAGAGCCCACCGAUCGCAAGAAUCGCCAAAGGCAAACCCUCACAUUUAUCCAAUACAGCUUUUGCAACAUCCAUCAGGUGGGCGGGGCAACGAUUUCCUUUAAAGAUCUUGUUAGAAAAUAGGGUCCACGAAUCUUCAAUUGAUAGUGGCUCCAUUUUGUAGACAUAAUCCUGAGAUUCUGUGCAAGAGGCAGAGGCUACAUCGGCUUUUCGUGUUGUUAGCAUGACACGAUUGCUGUAGUUACCCUCAGGCAGUGCAAAUUUGAUUUCAUUCCAAAAUUCCACGUCCCACACGUCAUCGAACACAAUUGCAUACCUUCCAGCUUGUUGAAGAAAAUUUUUGACAAAUUUUUUCAACUCAAUGGUAGAAAUAGAUUCGAUGAAUUGUGGGACUGAUUUGUUCAAUUCCUUGUGCAACUGCCAAAUCAAGUCUCUCAGGAGCUUUGGAAAGUCGCAUGUUUGAGAGACGGUUACCCAGGCACGAACUGGGAAAUUCUUUCUAACAUCUGGAUCUUCAUGGACCUUUUUGACUAGGGUAGUUUUGCCGAGUCCUCCCAUUCCAACCACUGAAACAACUUUGAGUUGGUGAUCGUGCCCCUCGAGAAGCUUAGAAAUCAGAUGUUGUUUGGGCUGGUCAAUGCCAACCAAUUUUGCUUCCUCCACUAGAAGUGCGUCAUCUCUGCUAUAGCGCCAUGAGUCGUUCAUGGUUGAAGAUCCAGUGACACGGUCAUCGAUGCCAAAUUCAACUUGGUAUCUCUGACGUCCUUCUGAAAUAUUUUUGAUCCUGGACUUUAUGCUUUGAAUUUCACUGGCAACCUGAUGACAAGCUCGCAAGCUCUUAAUGGCUUUGAGAAUUCUCUGCAGAGAGCCACAGAAUCCAUGAUGUCGGUAGCCAGCAAAAGCGAAGUACAAAUUCAUCGAGAACAUCUUCAAUGUCAUAAGCAGCUUCGCGCACUUGCUUGAUCCAUUCUUGGAGCCUGGGAUCAUCAUCUUCUUUUGCUUCAGCCACUUUGAGGAAAGCUUUCAUAUGCCCCAACUCAUCCUUGAUGAGUUGGACCUCCUGUCGAAGCCCUCCCAAUAGGCUUCCCUCCUCUCGGAGUAAGGUUGCGAGAUGAUCUGACACAAAAGAGACUACAGUUUCUGCCAUUUCUGACACAAAAGAGAAUGUCGGGGAAGGCGGCUUCUGGUUUAUAGGAUAGGACAGUCCAGUUGCAAUAUCUUGAAAGGAAGAAGGAAGAGGAAGUUAUAGAUUCAUAAGCUGAUGUUCUUCGGUGCAGUAUUUAUCAAAAAGAAAAACCGCGUUAAACAGACAAAGAAAGAAUUAACCAAUUAGAAGAAACUAAAGCAAGAAACAUCUGAUUGUGAAAGACAAAGCUACCUUACCUGCCACAAUACAAAAUCAUGGAAGCUAUUAAGAAGACUCAUUUCUGUUUGCACAUUCCUUCUUUCAACUGUGGGUCCUUUGGUCGGAUAAUAACAAAGGAGCACCGUUCAACUGUGGUCCUUCUUUACAAGUAGAAAUUCCAGGUUAAAACGCGGUUGGACUGGACAUUAUUGAUUUCUUUGACGAAGAAAUAAAACUGCUGCAAAAUGUUUUGCCCCUUCUGCUGACAUUAUGACAUAUAUAAGCUCCUCCUUCUAUGGAACUAAUUUCUGCUUUUUUUUUUUUCUUUUGACCCUUUGGACCAACUAGUUUGUAAUAAAAACGGAUGGAAUAUCAAGGAACAAACCAGUCCAACGCGGUGUAGACGAAAUUUACAGUAUAGACAUGAACGCGUGUUUGAGUAGUUAAAGUGGAAAGAGCACAAGAGAAUGAGAAGAAAACCCCACCCCAAAAGAAAAUUGACAGUUCCGAAUCAACUGGAAGCCAGCUAUGAGUUUUCCAGGAACAUGUGAUGCAGAGGAAAGUGAAUUUCUUCGGAGUGGAACAGAAAAAGCAACUCAAGACUAAGGAUGGCAACAGGAUGGCCCGCAGGAGGCUACCCCGCCCCGGAAUCCGUUUAAAAAAAAUAAAUAUAUAUGUGCAUAUAAUUAUAUAUAAAAUAUUUAAUUUAAUUAGUUAUAAACUUAUGAUAAUGAUAUUAUUAGUUAUAUGUAUUAUAUAAUAUAAUUAUCAGUUAUAUUACUAAUAUAUAUACUAAUAGAAAUUAUUAAUUAGUUAUAUUAAAUUUACUAAUACAUUUAUACUAAAUCUCUAAUUAUACUUACUCAAAAAAAAGCACAAGUAAAAUAAUGAAUUAGUGAUUGUAUUUCUAUCAAAAGUAAAAAUUUAACUACUUUAAUUGUAUUUAUUUCAUCAUAUUGGAUUGUAUUCACUAAUUUUUGUUUGAUUAUUUUUAUAAGUUUCAAUUGUAAAAUUAUAAUGAAUAAUAAUUUAGUAAUGUAUUGAUAUUUUAAUACUUAAUUAUUUAUUAAAAUUUAAUUAUAAUAAAAUUAUAUAAUAAAUUUUUAUUAUGCUGUCAGGAACGCAGGAUGGAAACGGGGACGGGGAGAGGGGAGGGGGUGGGACGAAGCUGCCUUACCUCCCACAAUAUAAAAUCAUGGAAGCUAUUAAGAAGACUGUGCACAUGUCUUCGGGACCUUCUUUCAACCGUGGGUCGGAUAAAGAUAAAAAGGAGCAUCGUUCGAUUGUGGGUUUUUUAAACAGCUCGCUUUAGUGUGGGGUGGGAGAUUAAGAGUUCAACCUUCGCUUUAGUGAUGGAAUUGACCAUCACUUUUAGUGUGGGGUGGGAGAUUAAGAGUUCAACUUUUGCCUUCUAUCAUAGGUGGCCACCUAAUGUGGCUGUGCUUAAGAUUCAUGUGGGUGCUUUGCACUCGUAUGGUCCGAUGGUGAUUUAGUCCCCAUCGAUUCCCUGUGACCCUGUUGGGUUACCUCCCCUUGUAUAGGUUAGAUUAGAACUAAGAGUAGGUGUAGACGUAAAUGAUGACAAAUAAUAAAAAAAAAAAAAAGACUGUGGGUUCUUUACGAGGGGAAGGACAUUAUUGAUUUCAUUGACGAAGAAAUAAAAAACCUUACUCUAUGGAACUAAUUUCUGCUGACCAAUUAGUAUUUGUAAUAUCAAAGAAAUGUGAACUGUAUUAAUUUAAGAGGUCAAUGAACAGCGUGCAAAUUUAGCAAAAAAAAAAAAAAAGGAAUUGCAGAAAAUGGUAAGGAGUAGAUUAAAAAUAAUCAAUUUUCUUUACAAUUAAGGAUUACAAAUUUGUUGGAAUAGCUGUACCACUCAAUCAUGACGUGGCUUAUUUCUAUGCCCUCCACUUUGUCAAUUAAUUUAAUGUCUCAUUUAUAUCAUCUUUGCAGCUAUCUUUUUCAACUGCAUGGGGAAAAUUAUAAGUUUCUUUUUUAACCCAAUCAAAAACCAAUUAAUAUCACAAAGUCAGGGGGGAUUGUAUUGCAGAUAUUGGUAAGUUUAGUGUUGAUUGCAGCGUUAGUUAUAUAACUAUAUCUAUUACGUGUUUUAUGAUAAGGAAGCUGCAAGGUGCCUUGUGGCCUUUAUUUCAUGGUCAUUGCUUCUUAUUAUCGCUUUGACUUUUGUUGCUUUGUACAACAAUUGGUGGCCAAUGCUAACAGGUACUAGAAUGUGAGAUAUUUGGCACGAUGUCGAUUACCUAUUCUUGGAAUUCUCGUGCAACUUGCUCUUUUGGGCAUAUUUAAUGUGGCAACCAGAUUAACAGUUAAGCAUGUUGUCUCAAAAGAUGAGUAUCUGCACUGCUCUGCAAACUAUCCAAGAGGCCCUUUGUAGUUCAGAAUUAGUUAAUUUUGUUGCAUCAAUGCCUUCUCAAAAUGGUACAACUUUCGUUAGUGUCUGAUGAUUAUACGAUUGCAUUGUCUUGUUGCGGCAAUAAUGUAUGUGGUUCUACCGAUGCCCUUAAUUUUUUUGGCUGGCUCGGAUACUUCAUCUCUCUUCUCUGAAUCUCAAAGUGGGUAAGGUUUUUUUGUUUUUCCUUCCGUACUGUUUCUCUGAUGAGAUGCUUUUAUUCAAGUUCAUUUAUAUGGAUUUUUUUGGCCUUAUUUGGUUUUCAUGAGCAACGUGGCAACAGCUGGGCAGAUAUGACCAAAUUCUUAAAGCAUAGCAAUACCAAUCAUCUUAAAGCAUGCUGGAGUAAUUGGCUGGGGGGCAAUGGCAAUGGAGCUCUCAUCCUUUUUCACAUUUGUUCUAGCAAUCGUGUGUUUCAUUGGAACGAGCGAAGAUGAUGGAUAUAGCAUCCUUUGAACGCGACUCUCUUUAAAAAUUUCAACUUUUCCAUUGUGCGGAAAACGUAGAAGUUGCCUUUUUCUUGAUUGCUGAGCAUUGCCUCUCAUUUUGUGCUUUGUAAAUACAAGAGUGGUUAUUUUUUUCCAGUGAAUGAAUACCUGAGUUGCACAUUAAACAAUCUGACCAUAUUAUCAAAGAUACUCCUGAAGGCAGGCAAUUCGUAACCAUGGAACAGAAGUUGACCAGAAUGUUGUAUUACAAACACAUCAGUGUUCAUUGGGAACCAAGACAAAGCAUGGAAAACUUUCAAUCUACCUUUAACAAAUAAGAAUUGAACUGUGUCCUCUUUAUCCUUAAUUCUUUUUUCUGUUUCAACCAAGUUUAGCUGAAUAUCGAGAGUACAUACCUUUAAUCCACUUUAACCACAAAAAGUAAAACUGCUGCAUUCCCGCUAUCAUUAAAAAAAAAAAAAUUGGACUACUUUUUCCUCAUUAUGGCGGAAAGUACAUACUUUUCAUCACAUUCCAUCAUAUGGUGAAACCUAGAAAUAUUGACCUUGUAUUUCUUUUCUGUGAUAACAAUGGUUCAUUCGUCACUAAGCAAUCCAAUAAGCACUUGCAAUCAUAACUUUGCCAAAGAAAGAAGAAGAAGAAGAAGGGGGCAAAACAUGAUUGACAAACCAAAUAAAAUCUGAAAACUUAAUGUUGUAAUUACCACGCCCUCUAUGUGUUGUUCCAUAGCUGAAUUUUCCAAAGAAACAGGCAACUACACACCCUCUAUGCCUUCUUUUUUUUCUUAAUAGCUGGCAAACAUGUAGUGUUUUCAUCCAUUCUACUUUUCAAAUCAGUCCUUAAAAACUUCUACUUGGUACUUAACAUCAACCAAAAGCUUCUAAAGUCUCCCUUCCCUCAAAAUAUAGAAUCCAAAUCAUAGAAUCAAAUGUAAAAAAUGAAUGCAAUUGCUUCAAUUUUAUUUGACAAACAAACCAAGCAAAUGUAAAAGCAACUUAAAAAGCAUGAAGAGUUUAGGCUCAAAGCUUUCUCUGCCCACAUAUAUUUCAACAUGACUUGAUAUAUGCUCUACAUGGUACACCAAUUCAUAUAAGCUCAUCCUUAUUGACAGACAUAGUUAUAUACUUACAUACACAAUACACGAACACAUACACUCCCCAUCCUCCAUCCCCCUCGCAACCCUGCCAGCGCAAUCACAGACACAAACACAGAGCAGAUCUAAACUACUAGACAGAGAGUCUAUAAAAGCCCUCACACCAUCUCAUCCUUCCUUGAAACACUCUUAAGCAAAGAAAAGCCAAGUUCUUACAUUGUAAAACAAGAUAAAAGGACUCCAACAAAUCUACAGCUUCUCCACUCUGUCAAGUCCAGUUAAUAACAGGGAAAAUUUCAAGAACAGGGCAUGCUCGAACCUUAUUUGACAAAGAAAGCACAAUGUUCGGCUAUCUAUAGAAGACCUUCAUGCGUGAAAUGUAUUUUCGUGUACACAUACUGGUACAUUUUGUACAAACGUCAGUCCAAAUGCCCUUCACAUUUGGCCUAAAAACCUGAACCCUUUAUUGAUUAGGGCUUCUAGGGCGCCCUUUUCCAUAAUAAUUCUACAGCAAAUUGCAGGAAACAGAAGACAAUGUGCAUCUAUCAUCCAACAACGCAAUAACCAAUCUAUCACAACCUGACAAAUUAACAAAUUAACUUCUUUCCUCUUCCUUCUCAUGUUUUCAAGCCAAUAGUACCCAAAUUUGGACCUAACCAAAAAAAAAAGGGAAAAACAAGUGCAGUAAAGGUCUUUAUCAUAUUCUAAUCAAAGUGUCAAACAGAGCUAAAUUACAGAGAAACUUAAAAAAUGAAAGAGAAAAAAAGAUACAAGCUUUUUUGUAUUUUUAACAUAGAUAAAAACCCAUAUGAGACUGAAGAAACUCUACUCAGGAUUGGGAUUUAAUCCUCCUCACCAUUUCCUCAAAAGCUAAGCUGAAAAUUCUCCCUUUCUUUUUCGCCAAUUAAUUUUCCGUCAAAAGACUACGCGAAAUUGAGGGGCGUCGGAGCCUUGAGCCGGCAGAAUCUCCCAGCGGCAAGGUUCGAGCUCGUCGGAAACAGGGCAGAAGCCGGCGAGGGUGACCUUAUCGGCAGAAGCGGCAACGGAACCGAAUUCGAAAACUGUGAUAUCAGCUGGUGGUGGCCCGGGCCGUCGGACCUCCACUGCUCCGUUCAUGCCUGGAACUUCAGAAGCGGAUUGGGUUUUCACCCUUCAGAAGCGGAUUGGGUUUUCACCGGUUCGGAUUUUUGGGUCGCGGGUUUGGAGUUGGUAUCGUUUUUGGUUCCCUUGAACCAUGAAAAAAUACCCAUUGGUGGUGAAUCAGUAAUGUUGCUCACAAAAUGAACUAGUUAGAACUUCCAGUGAGAGAAAGGGUGGAGGGGUUCUAGGCAAUCCAGUUUUAUUUGAGGAAGAAAUCAAGAAAGAGGAUAGCAUUCGUU